CAAGUCGAACGCGAAAGUUCCUUUCGGGGAGCGAGUAGAGUGGCGCACGGGUGAGUAACACGUAGGUAAUCUACCUUUGGAUUGGGAAUAACCACCGGAAACGGUGGCUAAUACCGAAUAAUGCAGCGGCACCUAAUGGUGACAGUUGUUAAAGCGGGGGAUCGCAAGACCUCGCGUCUAAAGAGGAGCCUGCGGCGGAUUAGCUAGUUGGUAAGGUAACGGCUUACCAAGGCGAUGAUCCGUAGCCGGCCUGAGAGGGCGGUCGGCCACACUGACACUGACAUACGGGUCAGACUCCUACGGGAGGCAGCAGUCGGGAAUUUUGGGCAAUGGGCGAAAGCCUGACCCAGCAACGCCGCGUGAAGGAUGAAAUCCCUCGGGAUGUAAACUUCGCAAGAACGGGAAGAAUAAGUCGGUGCCAACACCAUCGACGAUGACGGUACUGUUUGUAAGCUCCGGCUAACUCCGUGCCAGCAGCCGCGGUAAUACGGGGGGAGCAAGCGUUGUUCGGAUUUACUGGGCGUAAAGGGCGUGUAGGCGGCCACCGCAAGUCGACUGUGAAAUCUCCGGGCUUAACUCGGAAAGGUCAGCCGAUACUGCGGGGCUAGAGUGCAGAAGGGGCAACUGGAAUUCUCGGUGUAGCGGUGAAAUGCGUAGAUAUCGAGAGGAACACCUGCGGCGAAGGCGGGUUGCUGGGCUGACACUGACGCUGAAACGCGAAAGCUAGGGGAGCGAACGGGAUUAGAUACCCCGGUAGUCCUAGCCUUAAACGAUGAAUGCUUGGUGUCUGGGGUUUUAU
This 799-nucleotide ribosomal RNA is filed under the name uncultured Actinomycetes bacterium. RNAcentral's name for it is "bacterial SSU rRNA". It matches the Rfam family "Bacterial small subunit ribosomal RNA", at positions 58 to 835 of the family's 1533-position model. Lineage: Bacteria; Bacillati; Actinomycetota; Actinomycetes. The record is from RNAcentral.